Molecule: ribosomal RNA, 505 nt
Filed under: uncultured Planctomycetaceae bacterium
Lineage: Bacteria; Pseudomonadati; Planctomycetota; Planctomycetia; Planctomycetales; Planctomycetaceae
Description: bacterial SSU rRNA
Rfam family: Bacterial small subunit ribosomal RNA
Source: RNAcentral
AGAGUUUGAUCCUGGCUCAGAAUGAACGUUGGCGGCGUGGAUUAGGCAUGCAAGUCGAGCGAGAACCGUAGCAAUACGGGGACAGCGGCGAAAGGGAGAGUAAUACGUGGAUACCUACCCUCGGGUCCGGGAUAGCUGCGGGAAACUGCAGGUAAUACCGGAUGACAUCUCCGGAUCAAAGGUGUGAUUCCGCCCGGGGAGGGGUCCGCGACCUAUUAGCUAGUUGGUGAGGUAACGGCUCACCAAGGCGAAGAUGGGUAUGGGAUGUGAGAGCAUGAUCCCACUCACUGGGACUGAGACACUGCCCAGACACCUACGGGUGGCUGCAGUCGAGAAUCUUCGGCAAUGGGCGCAAGCCUGACCGAGCGACGCCGCGUGCGAGAUGAAGGCCUUCGGGUUGUAAAUCGCUGUCAGAGGGGAGGAAAUGCCGGUGGGUUCUCCCAUCGGUUUGACCUAUCCUCAGAGGAAGGACGGGCUAAGUUCGUGCCAGCAGCCGCGGUAAUAC